Salarias fasciatus (jewelled blenny) is the source of this 572-nucleotide long non-coding RNA. RefSeq lists it as uncharacterized. The transcript is spliced from 3 exons. NCBI's taxonomy places the organism in Eukaryota, Metazoa, Chordata, Actinopteri, Blenniiformes, Blenniidae. The record is from RefSeq and is a predicted model, not a curated record.
CCUUCACGCUCAGGGAUCACUGGACGUGGACAGACAGAUGCUCCGUCUGUCUCAGAGGAGACAGCGUCUGCGUCCCAAGCUGGAGGAGCUGCAGCUGCGAGUCGGUUCUCCACAGUACAGCAGCAGGGUUCCAGCCCACAUCCGACAGCAGACAGAGAGCAAGCUGUCAGCUCUACAGCAGGAGCUGAAGACCAUCGAGGAUCAGCUGAAGGAGCUGCAGGACAGACAAACUACAGAGUGACACGUGUCCACAGCUGGAGGCCACCUCUUCUACACCUGUCCUACACCUGUCCUACACCUGUCCACAGCUGUACAGACCUGUUAAAUCAUCCACCGGAUUAUUGAUCUUAGUUUCAAUGCUGCUGCAAUAAAUGAACAAUGUAAAAGAUGUCAAACGUUUCACUAGUUCUGUCUGUGCAUCAUUGCCUCCUGCUGUGCAUCAUUGCCUCCCGCUGUGCAUCAUUGCCUCCCGCUGUGCAUCAUUGCCUCCGCUGUGCAUCAUUGCCUCCUGCUGUGCAUCAUUGCCUCCCGCUGCAUGCUGCAGGUGAUCACAGGACAGGUUCAGACUGUUU